This 253-nucleotide non-coding RNA is filed under the name uncultured microorganism. Its description in RNAcentral is "partial small subunit ribosomal RNA". It matches the Rfam family "Bacterial small subunit ribosomal RNA", at positions 524 to 776 of the family's 1533-position model. The record is from RNAcentral. RNAcentral also lists the same sequence under 1 other name.
UACGUAGGGAGCAAGCGUUGUUCGGAUUUACUGGGCGUAAAGGGCGCGUAGGCGGCGCGGUAAGUCAGCUGUGAAAUCUCCGAGCUUAACUCGGAACGGCCAGCUGAUACUGCAGUGCUAGAGUGCAGAAGGGGCAAUCGGAAUUCUUGGUGUAGCGGUGAAAUGCGUAGAUAUCAAGAGGAACACCUGAGGUGAAGACGGGUUGCUGGGCUGACACUGACGCUGAGGCGCGAAAGCCAGGGGAGCAAACGGG